Molecule: long non-coding RNA, 647 nt
Organism: Oreochromis aureus
Lineage: Eukaryota; Metazoa; Chordata; Actinopteri; Cichliformes; Cichlidae
Exons: 3
Source: RefSeq, a predicted model, not a curated record
GUCUCAGGUAGAGGGGGUGGGAGCAAGUGGGGAGCCGUGUGCACUCUGCAGGAAGCGAGAGAGACGAGAGCUGAACAGUGUCGAGUGAACGCAGAGUUCCUAGAAGGGCGACAGACAUAUUUUCGGAUUGACGGAUAGUUAACUGGAGUGAAAAGCUGUUGUACCCUACUGUGAGUAGGAGGAGACGGACGUCUUGCUGGCGUGUCAGAGAGGUCCCUUCUACUGGUGUGCUGAAGUUAUGUGUUCACGUGGAGAGGACGACUGAGUGCUGCUGCCGCGGCCUGCUGGUAGCCUUGACCCACUUUCCCCUGCUAUCCCCUUGAACUGCCUGGAGGUUUUUAGGCAUUACGCUGACUGAUGGAUGAAGAAUUCCCGUUGGAUUGUUCCCAUCACGACCCAGGUGAUCAGUCUCUUGAUAGCUUUUCCUCUGGUUCCUGCUCUCUGCUGACACUCCUAGCUCUAGCCACGUUCUCCAUUCUCUCUCUUUAAACAAAGUCUUAUAAAUAGUUUAACCAUGUGCAUUGAAUCUGCAUUUGGGUCUAAGCCUUCUAUGGAGGGAAUAUCUCUACACAGUGACAUCCAUUCAAUUUUCAAUUCAAUUCAAUUUUAUUUAUAGAGCGCCAAAUCACAGCAACAGUCUCCUCAAG